UGGGUGUUUGCUGCUUUUCCUUGUGGCUCACCUCAAAUGCGUUAGUGCACCUCUUGGUUGGACAUAGUACGGCGUGAUAAGUAUCUUCGCCGGCACCUCGCAAGAGGGUGGCCGAUCGAGAGCUCUGUGCUUUCAAACCGUCUUCGGACAAUGUCUGACAACUUGACCUCAAAUCGAGUAGGACUACCCGCUGAACUUAA
Molecule: unclassified non-coding RNA, 200 nt
Filed under: Sebacinales sp.
Lineage: Eukaryota; Fungi; Basidiomycota; Agaricomycetes; Sebacinales
Also listed under: 1 other name
Description: partial contains internal transcribed spacer 2 and large subunit ribosomal RNA
Source: RNAcentral